GCUUAUAAUAAUUUCACCAUGCACCAUGGUUUAAUUGAUGCAGAGGGCAGUCAAAUUUUUUGUGCUAUGGAUUUUUCUUUCUUUUUUUUUUCCGUUUAUUUAGUAAUUUCGAUACACCUUAAUUUUCGAAAAUAAUAGAUAAAAAAUUAUCCAAGACUAUGGCCAUCAUUUUUUUUUUUUUUUGAAGUAACGUUUACAAUCAUUUUCUAAUUUAGUUUAACAAAUUAUUUGCUAAGACUAAU
This 242-nucleotide long non-coding RNA is filed under the name Citrus sinensis (sweet orange). RNAcentral's name for it is "long non-coding RNA (CSIN_LNC003753)". Lineage: Eukaryota; Viridiplantae; Streptophyta; Magnoliopsida; Sapindales; Rutaceae. The record is from RNAcentral.